UUACACUUAUUUCCUCCCACGUCUGCUGGAGUGUGCGGCAAGAGGUCGAACGUCUUCGAAGUUUCACCUCCGUCGCUGCCUGUUAUAAUCCGCCGUUCGUCUUAUUCCUCUCCCAGCCGAGCCUUCUCUCCCUCAAGUUCCGUCGCUUCCAGAUGUUCAUUCUCCGAUAUGUCUUCGAUUAUCUCGUUGCUGUCUUUCCUGAUAUUUACAAGCAGGUUUUAUUUUCUUUUCCACUCAGGCAUCAAAUUUAUAUCGAGUCAUUGUGGAUUCGAUUGUAAUUUUAUUCAAUUGGGUAUUUGGGUUAUCUGCAAUUGUUGGGUUGUGAUUCAAAUAAUUUAUGCAAUAGCUGUCGAUCAUUGAGUUAUCAUUUGUUUGAACGGUGCAUUUCAUUACAUUUUUAUUGAUAUUAUUAGAUGUUCAGAAUUACAAAUCUACAUAGCGCAUGUAGUUCAUCAGAAAUCCAGCCUUCUCCAGUUCUAUUAAAGUAAGAAUGAAUGCACAAUACGAGGUCUGAUCAAACCAUAACUGGACUGCAAGGUUAGUUCAUUUUUCGGUUUCUGUUUUUAUUUUUGUUCCAAUGUUGGAUUCAAAGCUCUUCUAUGCAAUUCCGUAUCCCCAUUAGUGAUUGAAAAUAAAAGUAUUUAUGUUUGCAACACCACAAAAUUGUCUUCACUAGACAUCUCUCUACCCAGUUGUACUAGAUAUAUGAUAUAUCUACUUUAUGCAAGGAUAUUCUGACUUUAUCUUACAAAAGAGAGUUCUAAGUUUAACACUUAGGUUUA
Molecule: long non-coding RNA, 782 nt
Filed under: Olea europaea (common olive)
Lineage: Eukaryota; Viridiplantae; Streptophyta; Magnoliopsida; Lamiales; Oleaceae
Description: long non-coding RNA (OEUR_LNC010345)
Source: RNAcentral